This 68-nucleotide small nuclear RNA is filed under the name Carlito syrichta (Philippine tarsier). Lineage: Eukaryota; Metazoa; Chordata; Mammalia; Primates; Tarsiidae. The record is from RNAcentral.
GUGCUCACUUCGGCAGCACAUAUACUAAAAUUAGAACAAUACAGAGAAGAUUAGCAUGGCCCCUGCGC